Molecule: ribosomal RNA, 1388 nt
Filed under: swine fecal bacterium RF2C-Cel3
Lineage: Bacteria
Description: partial 16S ribosomal RNA
Rfam family: Bacterial small subunit ribosomal RNA
Source: RNAcentral
AUUCUUUUUCCACCGGUAGCCUUGCUCCACCGAGAAAANGAGGGAGCUGGCUGAACGGGUNGUAGUUAACACNCUGGCGCUNACCGUGACCCAGUCAUAACGGGCGAUAACACGUUGGAANCANGCUGCUANUACCGCUAUAACAACUCAAAACCGCNNGNUUUUGAUUUNNNNGGCNCUUUCGNGUGUCGCUGAUGNAUGGACCCGCGGGGCAUUACCUAUCNUGGUGAGGUAACNGCUCACCANGGNCNCNAUGCAUAACCGACCUGAGAGGGUGAUCGACCACAUUGGNACUGAGACACGGCCCAAACUCCUACNNUAAGGCAGCAGNAGGGAAUCUUCGGNAAUGGACUAAAGUCUGACCGAGCAACGCCUCNUGAGUGAAGAAGGUUUUCGGAUCGUAAAACUCUGUUGUUAGAGANGAACAAGGAUGAUAGUAACUGUUCNUCCCUUGACGGNAUCUAACCCCAAAGCCACGGCUAACUACGUGCCAGCAGCCGCGGUAAUACGUAGGUGNCANGCGUUGUCCGGAUUUAUUGGGCGUAAAGCGAGCGCAGAGCGGUUUCUUAAGUCUGAUGUGAAAGCCCCCGGCUCAACCGGGGAGGGUCAUUGGUAAACUGGGAGACUUGAGUGCACAAGAGGAGAGUGGAAUUCCAUGUGUAGCGGUGAAAUGCGUAGAUAUAUGGAGGAACACCAGUGGCGAAGGCGGCUCUCUGGUCUGUAACUGACGCUGAGGCUCGAAAGCGUGGGGAGCAAACAGGAUUAGAUACCCUGGUAGUCCACGCCGUAAACGAUGAGUGCUAAGUGUUGGAGGGUUUCCGCCCUUCAUUGCUGCAGCUAACGCAUUAAGCACUCCGCCUGGGGAGUACGACCGCAAGGUUGAAACUCAAAGGAAUUGACGGGGGCCCGCACAAGCGGUGGANCAUGUGGUUUANUUCAAAGCAACGCGAAAAACCUUACCAGGUCUUGACAUCCUUUGANCNCUCUAAANAUAGAGCUUCCCCUUCGGAGGCAAAGUGACAGGUGGUGCAUGGUGUGUCGUCAGCUCGUGUCGUGAGAUGUUGGGUUAAGUCCCGCAACGAGCGCAACCCUUAUUGUUAGUUGCCAUCAUUCAGUUGGGCACUCUANCAAGACUGCCGGUGACAAACCGGAGGAAGGUGGGGAUGACGUCAAAUCAUCAUGCCCCUUAUGACCUGGGCUACACACGUGCUACAAUGGGAAGUACAACGAGUNGCGAACUCGCGAGGCUAAGCUAAUCUCUUAAAGCUUCUCUCAGUUCGGAUUGCAAGCUGCAACUCGCCUGCAUGAAGCCGGAAUCGCUAGUAAUCGCGGAUCAGCACGCCGCGGUGAAUACGUUCCCGGGCCUUGUACACACCGCCCGUCACACC